RNAcentral lists this long non-coding RNA (6575 nucleotides) under Sorghum bicolor (sorghum). RNAcentral describes it as "long non-coding RNA (SBIC_LNC008374)". Lineage: Eukaryota; Viridiplantae; Streptophyta; Magnoliopsida; Poales; Poaceae. The record is from RNAcentral.
GAAUCAAGAAUUACUUCAAGGUUAUCUAUUUCGGGACAUCAGAACACUAACCACAGAAAGUGAUGAGAAGGGGGCUAGGAAGCUCCGACUACGGUCCUACAAACACCGAUCCGAACGUGGUGGAAUACGUCGACCGUUAGGGCUGUCACUACCCUAAGGCUACCACAACAAUCCGCAGGAUUGGGUGCAAUUCCAGGUAAUUGCAAGACUAAACACCACGUCUAAUCUAUUAAUCACUACUCUAAUGUUUCAAAGAUUAGAGCACUUGAUGCAAGCGGGAAUCCAAUAAAUAACUUGAAUGUAAAUAAAAGUAAUAAAAGAACUCAGGAAUUAUGAGUUGAAGAACCUGGAGAACGACGAAGAACGAACCAGUUGCUGCAAAAGUACAAUGUUGAGGAAGAUCCGACAGAUCCGGCUCCUCCUCCGCUCUCCUCUUCUCUCUCCCUAUUUUCUAAAUUACAACUAGAACUAACUAGAACUAGAACUAGAGGAACUAGAACUAGAACUAGAUGAACUAGAACUAGAUCUAGAUGAACUAGAGGUAGAACUAGAAGAACUAGAGGGAUCCUCUCAACUUGGAUGAAGAAUUGAAACCCUAGCUUUGAUUCUGUAGAAGAGGUAUGAUCUCCAGGGGCCAGGGGGGUCUGGUUUUAUAGUCCCUUCAAGUGAAUCUGGGCCGUCGGAUCAAACCGACAUUGGUCACACGGUUUUCCUUGAUCCUUUAGGUCGGUGGAGCGUUGUCCGCGAAACGUGUCCUGAUUGGGCACUGUAGCUAGGCGGGCGCCCAGGAGAGUUGGGUGGGCGCCCUGCCUCCGAGCCCGAUUUCCUUCCCGUUCGUUCUCGUGGCUUCUGGAGUCUUCUAGAUGGUAGAUAAUAGUGCGGCAUGAUUAGUUGAUGGUUAAAUGUGAGCAUUAAGGACCGUCAACAAGCUCCCCCAAGUUUAACCUUUGCUCGUCCCUGAGCAAAGAUGAACUCAAGAGUUUCUGCAGUGGUUUCAUAACUUAAAGAUACACAUGCGUUUAAACAAGAUCUCAUCUCUAGGUUAGGGUAAACUUUUAAGAUUUAAACUUACUCAUUUUACCUUCAACCAUGGGGCUUGCAACCGUCACUUGUGUCUUGAGCAGUUAAAAGAUAGAACGGUCUAGUCAAGCACCAUGUCUCUUGUUCUUCGAUUAACUAUAGCUCUAGAGUUUUUGCAGAUUUUCAAAUAAAACUCAGAGAUUCCUUGUAUGACUCUCUCUAGUCUCUCUUUUGUGGUAUUUCUGGAUCCUUACCAAGGCAGUAAUGGUGUAUGCCUUCUCUCAAAGUAUGUGGUAUUUGUGGUAUAAGGCAUAGUGGCAUUGCCUUCUCUCUCACCCUACUCUAAUAAGGCUUUUGAUAUCUAGAGCUCAUAGGUGGGAGACAGCUAAUACAUACUUACAAGACAUUUAUUGCAUAGUCAAACCAUGGAUCCAGAAGAACAAGUCAAUAAGUCAAAUCAAGAUGUGCUUGUGUGGCGAAUGAAUGGUGUAUGAUGGUGAUAACAAUGGUGAAAGUCUAAUUCUACUUAUGCUCUUUUGAGGGGAUACAUACCUUUCUUGCACUCUGAAGCUUUUUGAGGGGAAUGAGAUGCUCUAUAUUUUCUUCUUUUUUUUCUUUUCUCUCAGGUGGGUAUCUUGUACCCCUAAUUCUACUGUCGGACACUUGUCCAUUUUUACCUCUCGUCUCACUUUUCCUUUUCUUUCGAGGUUCCGGGCACUUGCCCCUUUUUAUUUCCUCGUAUUCUUUUUUUUUCUUUCUUUUUUUUAGAGCACUCAUCUCCUGAAAUAAUAUAGCAAGUGGUAGUAACCAAGAUAACUUGAGCAUUUAUUUCACAGGGGAAAAACAGAAAUAUUUUUGGCUAUUCUCUCCCGGAUUAGGAGUAGAAUAUUUUUAGGUGGCUCUGGAGAUGGAAAUGUGUGGAUGUGUGUGGAUGCGUACUUCCAGAGUAGAAGCAGCAUGUAUGAGUGAACGUGCAAGUGAAUCUUGACUUAACCACAUGACAAGCUCCUAAGGGUCUACACAGCUUGACCACACUCAAUGCUCAUAAGCAGUAAAAAGUAAAUGUGUGGCUCAAAGUCUAGCAAGCAUGUAUAUAUGGCUGUGGUAGGAAUUUAAACUCUCAUCAUACAGGAACUCAUCAUGUAAUAUUUUAAAGAUUUUUAAAGAUAAAAUUCUCCAGAAUUCUAGCAUCUCUAGGAACAAUAAACAGUAGCUCAACCUUCCCAUAUCGUAUCUGUUAACGACUUAGACUUUAGAUCAAGUACUCUUCCCACAAGUUCACGUUUAGAGCAAAUCUUAAUUAAUACAGUCAUGCCUAAACUUGAGAGUGAUUUCAAUUUUGAGAACUAGUUAUGGCAGAGCAUUUAUUCAUCAUUUCCAUGUGAGAGCUUAUCAUGAGGGUUCAUAACAAACUUUAUUUAUUUAUUUAUUUAGCAAACUAAGCAAAGAUAUAUAAGCACAAAAUCUUUAUUUGGGUUUUUAUGAUUGUGUAUCUUUUUUAUUAUUAAGUAAAGUAUAAACAUGAGUAGAGCACUUAGCUGGAUAAAUGGGGGUGCUCUCCCCCAAGCUGGAUUUUGACGUAGUUUCUUCUAAUGUAGCUAGCAAGUGGUGGAGGUGUAUUUGAAUGUCAGCAGCACCCUGACAGCGAUUAGAAUGUCCUCCGUUUGCUAGUCUUCUUUGAUCCUUGAAUUCUGUGGAGCUCAAAUAGACAACAAAGCUUUGUGGAACUCGUUAAGUGUUAGCAUAAAUAUCUAGCCUUUAUCAUGUUGAGCCUCCUCAAUAAAUAUUACUCUCUUUAGUAGGAUCAUAAAUUUAUUUUUAUAAUUUAAUUUUUUUAUAGGACAGGAAUAUACUUAUUUCAUUUUUAUGCCACCACAAUGGAUGUACUUAUGGGUUUUAUGCCAUGAGCAUACUCACAUGGGGCUUACUAUUUUUAACAUUUUUAUUUUCUUUUCAAGAUGAUGUGAACCUGAUUAACUAAGCAAACUAUUUUAAAUAAUUGAAAGAAAAAAGAUAACUACCAAGUUUACCUCUUGGCAAGGCGUUCGGUGUUUUUAAGUCCUCCGAACGGGACUCUCCAUUUUCUCAGUUGUCCUGGGAUUUGCUGGAUGGUGUAGUCGGUGGUUCCGGUGGAGCCUGCUCUUCAUUUAUAACUAUCUUUUUUCUCCACACCUCACUCGAUGCUACGGUCUCCUCAGGACAGUUCUGUUCAAGUUAUAUGUCUUCAGACCUUACAACUUCUCCAUCAUAGUCUACCCAUCCGUCCUUGAUGAUUUUGCCUUCUCUGGUUGCGGUUGCGCCGUCUCCUUCUUGUCCUGACCUGCUUAGAGUCUUCAACUAUAUAGUUAGGGUCAGUAAAACAGUGGCGUACCUUCUUAGAGGGAAGUGCAUGUGGACUUCUCCGGUUCCAAUGUAGAUGAUUGCUUUAACGGCGCUGAGGAACGGUCUUCCAAGGAUGACGGGUGGAUCGUACUCGUCUUCUCCCAUGUCAAUAACCUGAAAAUCAUCUGGAGCUGAAUGUAUGUUGAUUGUAGGGGCAUGGUUCCAUGCAGGAGCUGAUAAGUGACUGCGGCCAUUAUGUUGACGUCAGAUCCGGUGUCGUAGAGUGUCUUCUGAAAGGAAUAUCCGUUGAUUGUGCACUCAAUGCUUGGAACACCAGGGUCGUCCUUCUUGAUCAAGAAAGGUGACUUGAGUUGACGAUCUUGACCUCCUUGAGCUGCAGUGACCAUCUUAGCUGACUCGGUACACAUUUGCUUGUUCUUGUUCCUCCUGUUGGUCCUCUUCCUUGGUUCAUGUCGGGAUUGCUCUGGGAUUUGUGUAGUCUUGUUUCUUGAAGGAAAACGUCUCCUUCUUCCCCUUGAUGUAGAAACUGAUCUUGGCAGCACUAGCGUAGAUGACAGCUCCCGAGGUGUUCAGGAAUGGCCUCCCUAGGAUGAUGGGUGCCCUCUCAUCAGUACCAGUCUCUAUCACCACGAAGUCUGCUGGGGCGUACAAGGUACCAACUCAGACGUAGAAGUUCUUCAAUAUUCCCCUGGGCAUAAUGUUGACGCUGAAGCCAAAGUUGUAGAGUGCUUCUGGGGAGUCCAUCAUGCCGAUGGCCAAGAUCGGGAUGACGGUGCGUCCUGGAUUGUCUUUCUUGACCGGCAGAAGGUCAGUAAUUACUUCCACAACGGGGUUACUUCUGUAGUUACAUCCUCAAGCAUCUCAGGGCAGUGAUUGCCUGAGUGUCCAGUAUCUCCAGUGUGUUUGUGCUCGUAGAUCUAGGUUCUUCACUUGGUGGAGUCUGGGAGUUAUAAAAGUCCUUCAUAUUUUGCUCGAAGUGUACCUGCUCAUAGAGACAAGGCAGAGAUCAAGUGCAUGGGCCCUGUUGGUGGAAAACACCAACAGAACCAAAAGUGUAUUUGUUCUUCUCUAACCUUAAGCAUAGUGAGCAAGACAAAGCUGAUGGAUAAUAAGAUCAUGAGUGUAGCAUUUAAAGCAUUUGUCAGAUCAGAUCGCUCAACCUAAUGGAAAGAUAAUCUAUCUAUAUUUAUGUUUUGUUUAUAUCUUCCAAAGAUUGAAUGUGCAACAUUUUAGCUCAUAAGAUUAGGAGUGUGGGAUCACAAAGGUGGAAGGACUAAUCAUGUUGAAUCGAUUGGGUUGGUUAAUCUAGAGUUAUAAAUCAUAUAUGUUUGUCUCUUUUAUUCAUGUGAAUGCUAGAACUAAGGAGAAACUUUAUAAAAGCGAUAGUCAAGUACCUUAAGAUGUUACCUUACUUGAAGAGUGAUGGUAUAGUAUCACCUUGUGGAAGCUUUCCUUUCUUAGCGGUUGUGCAUCACGUUUGUGGCACCCUCCAUGGAUCAUCUCUUGUGAGCUAUGCCUUCCUCGUGCAAAUUGUUAAACUUCAUGUGUCUCUCUCUUUGUCUCCAAUGUGAGUUUAUCUCAGGACUUCCCAGGUCGAUAUUGAAAGUUUUCCUGCAGGGGUUAGUCCAACAAAAUAUCCAAUAUCUACUAUAGCAUACUAUCGGCUCAAAAAUCAACCUAGACACCAUGUCUAAUUUGAUUUAGGAGGGCUUUUUAACCUAAGCAUCAUGCUUAAUUUAAACUCUCUUGGAAGUAAGAUCAUCAGCCCUAAACUAAGCACCAUGCUUAAUUAAGAGAUAAAUGAAACUACUCCAAACCUAGACAUAUACUAAAGCAAAUAAAGGUAGCAAGAGAGCAUUUAUAGAGUUCUACUCAAGUGGAGAUGAAGUAGUGUGAUUAGUAUUUAACAAAUUGAGCAUGUCUCAAAGGUAGGGACAACCAACAAAGCAACAUGGCAAAGGAUGUUUUUAAUGUAAAGUACUCCCCCAAGCUUGAAUUUUGCAAAAUUCAAGUUUGGAUGAAUUUAAUUCAAUGUUGUAUGAUGAUUGGUUGGACAUACCUUGUGCUUGUCAUUCAUCCGAUCUUCUUGCUCCAAUCCUGAAAAGGUUAGUGACAAGAAUACCCGAAGGAAUUUUUUACAGUUAUCCAUAUAUGCUCAAUACACAAGGUAAUGUUGUAAAUAAUUAAAAGCUCAUGUUACGAUCUGAUCAGUGCUUAUUUUAGGACACUAAGCUUGUCCUUGGGAAACCAUCAAUUUAUGUUAGUGAAGUGGUUUCCCCUCCAACGCUGACCUAUAUCAAGAUCAACUCAACGAGAUCUGCAAAAUUUAUUAUAGACAUAUGCAUCGACAACCGCCCUUUUAAAGUUUUUAUGAAUAGAAAGGAAGAGGGGGUUGGAGAUCUCGAAUGUGGUGAUGUUGGAGAGACCAAUGGAUUGUGAAGAUGUUGCAUAUGAGCAUGGAGUAAAUGAAGUGGCUAUGAAAUAAAUUCCAUGCUCAUUAAUGCUUAGAGUGAAAUCCAUGUGGUAUGGUGAAAGUGAUAAGGUGAGUGUGGUAAAAAGGAAAAGAAAAAGGAUACACGAACGACUUGGUUCGAAACUAGCACAGCUACCGUUCCCCGGCAACGGCAUCAGAAAGCUUGUUGGGUAUUUUAAACGCAAACAGAAAAAUCCGCAAGCGCACGGAUACCGAUGUAGCUUUCACCCGGGAGUAUUCCAGAGUAUCGAUUUUCCACAGAGAACGUGAGUGUACUAAUUAAGAUCUAAGAUCGCCCAAGGAUAACUAUAUAAUUAUUUUUGGUGGGAAGAGAGGAAGUUUCCUGAGAGUUCUCUAGUUGAUCUAAGAAUCAAGAAUUACUUCAAGGUUAUCUAUUUCGGGACAUCAGAACACUAACCACAGAAAGAGAUGAGAAGGGGGCUAGGAAGCUCUGACUGCGGUCCUACAAACACCGAUCCGAACGUGGUGGAAUACGUCGAACGUUAGGGCUGUCACUACCCUGAGGCUACCACAACAAUCCGCAGGACUGGGUGCAAUUCCAGGUAAUUGCAAGACUACUAAUCUAUUAAUUACUACUCUAAUGUUUCAAAGAUUAGAGCACUUGAUGCAAGCGGGAAUCCAAUAAAUAACUUGAAUGUAAAUAAAAGUAAUAAAAGAACUCAAGAAUUAUGAGUUGAAGAACCUGGAGAACGACGAAGAACGAACCAGUUGCUGCAAA